CCUAACUCAACGGGGUGCCCACGCGGAAUCGGGGCUGAGACCAUACCCGCCGAACCUGAUCCGGCUCAUACCGGCGAAGGGAUUGAGCGUUUGCCAUCA
This 99-nucleotide non-coding RNA is filed under the name Marinobacter santoriniensis. RNAcentral's name for it is "TPP sequence". It matches the Rfam family "TPP riboswitch aptamer (THI element)". Rfam says of the family: Vitamin B(1) in its active form thiamin pyrophosphate (TPP) is an essential coenzyme that is synthesised by coupling of pyrimidine and thiazole moieties in bacteria. The record is from RNAcentral. Lineage: Bacteria; Pseudomonadati; Pseudomonadota; Gammaproteobacteria; Pseudomonadales; Marinobacteraceae.